Molecule: ribosomal RNA, 274 nt
Filed under: uncultured bacterium
Lineage: Bacteria
Description: partial 16S ribosomal RNA
Rfam family: Bacterial small subunit ribosomal RNA
Source: RNAcentral
AUACGGAGGGUGCAAGCGUUACUUGGAAUCACUGGGCGUAAAGCGCGCGCAGGCGGCUAUUUAAGUUGGAUGUGAAAGCCUACGGCUCAACCGUAGAACUGCAUCCAAAACUAUUUAGCUAGAGUGUGGGAGAGGAAGAUGGAAUUAGUUGUGUAGGGGUAAAAUCCGUAGAGAUAACUAGGAAUACCAAAAGCGAAGGCAAUCUUCUGGAACACUACUGACGCUGAGGCGCGAAAGCGUGGGGAGCAAACAGGAUUAGAAACCCUAGUAGUCC